Long non-coding RNA from Chelonia mydas (Green sea turtle), 471 nucleotides. RefSeq lists it as uncharacterized. The transcript has 3 exons. The record is from RefSeq and is a predicted model, not a curated record. NCBI's taxonomy places the organism in Eukaryota, Metazoa, Chordata, Testudines, Cheloniidae.
GAGACCUGAAGCGCGCUGGGAAAGUCUUAGUUUAAAGGAAUGGGGGGUGAGGGGAAACCAAGGCAGGACCCCUGCAGGCUGAGAGAUGCCGGGAGUGCACUCAUGCAGACACGGUGGGAGGCGUGCGCUUCAGAGGAGCGAAGGAGUUGUAGGAAGGAAGAACAGUGUCCUCGGUCUCUAGUCUGUACCUUCAGAUUAUCCCUGAUCACCCUAGGAACUGAACACGCUGUUCUGAGAAGGAGGACUGCUGGGAAGAGAUGGGGUCCACCUGACCAAGAAGAGGAAGAACAUAAAUUGUGCAUCAACCUGCCAACCUGAUGUGGACCUCACAGUGACGGUGCAUGGCUUUGUAUCUUCAAGGAUGGUGUCAAGGUUCCUUCCCCACUCUGAACUCUGGGGUACAGAUGUGGGGACUGGCAUGCAAGACCCCCUCAGCUUAUUUUUACCAGCUUAGGUUAAAAACUUUCCCAA